Molecule: ribosomal RNA, 600 nt
Filed under: Staphylococcus aureus
Lineage: Bacteria; Bacillati; Bacillota; Bacilli; Caryophanales; Staphylococcaceae
Description: bacterial SSU rRNA
Rfam family: Bacterial small subunit ribosomal RNA
Source: RNAcentral
UUAGCGGCGGACGGGUGAGUAACACGUGGAUAACCUACCUAUAAGACUGGGAUAACUUCGGGAAACCGGAGCUAAUACCGGAUAAUAUUUUGAACCGCAUGGUUCAAAAGUGAAAGACGGUCUUGCUGUCACUUAUAGAUGGAUCCGCGCUGCAUUAGCUAGUUGGUAAGGUAACGGCUUACCAAGGCAACGAUGCAUAGCCGACCUGAGAGGGUGAUCGGCCACACUGGAACUGAGACACGGUCCAGACUCCUACGGGAGGCAGCAGUAGGGAAUCUUCCGCAAUGGGCGAAAGCCUGACGGAGCAACGCCGCGUGAGUGAUGAAGGUCUUCGGAUCGUAAAACUCUGUUAUUAGGGAAGAACAUAUGUGUAAGUAACUGUGCACAUCUUGACGGUACCUAAUCAGAAAGCCACGGCUAACUACGUGCCAGCAGCCGCGGUAAUACGUAGGUGGCAAGCGUUAUCCGGAAUUAUUGGGCGUAAAGCGCGCGUAGGCGGUUUUUUAAGUCUGAUGUGAAAGCCCACGGCUCAACCGUGGAGGGUCAUUGGAAACUGGAAAACUUGAGUGCAGAAGAGGAAAGUGGAAUUCCAUGUGUAGC